GAAAUGAUUUAGGAAUGUAUGCUGUAUGUUUUGUGGUUGGGAGAUGGAAAUAUCUCUAAAAUUUUCCGCCACCAUGGAUGAUGACCACGGACACUGGACCAGGCUUUUCAAGAAUGGAUGUCAUUUUGGACAGAUGGAAAUACACUCUCAAAAGCUAAGUGUCACAAUUUUUUUAAUGCUACGUAAUUUAUUAUUACUGCAGUUGCAGCAAAAUGUUUAGCCAACACUGGAUAAAAAGGAUUAUGGGUGAUGCAGGUUCUGGUUUCGUGUUUAGAGAAGAAUCCAGGCCCUGGUGAGAAUGGUGAGAACUGUGUUGACAGCCAAAUUGACUGAAGAACAGGUUGUAUUACGUUAAGCAGCAGCUGAUGAGGACCAUAAUUAGGAUGGCACCAACUGAGUUUAUGUUUAGAAUUGCCUACAUCAUAAAUAUAUAAUGUGAAAUUACAGAAAAAAGCGUAAAAUAAACAUUAACCUAAAUAGAAAAUAAGAUCUACAGAUAAAUGUUAACCUCACACAAGUUAAAUAUGGCCUAGAAAUACACACUUUUUUAAAUCUUACAAAGCAACUGUUUGAAAGAUAUUUUUUGUUACAUCAGAACAUCAGAAAUAUGGAAGUGAUUCAUUACUGAGACUAUUGUCGGAAAGCCUAAAGUUACAUGAGAUUAUUGUGGAUGGUACCACUUAGAAACCAUGAAGAUGGCUUUGGAAUUCAAUUGAUAUUAACAGUUUUGCUAUGAUGGUUUAGGACUACAAUUGCUAUGAUAGCUUUAGGACUUCAAUUCCCAUGAACAGUUUUGCACUCAAGUCUCCAUCAGUGAACAGUUGAUAACUUCAACAAAAUAGACUUCAUGUCAAAACUAUAAUGAAAUUUUGUGGUUACACAACUGCACUUUUUGAACAUAUAGUACACAGUUAUAGAAGGGAAUUAUUUAUAACUGCACUAUUCAUUGUCACCCAGAUGAGGGUGGGUUCCCUUUUGAGUCUGGUUUCUCUUACGGUUUGUUCCUUAUAUUGUCUCAGGGAGUUUUUCCUUGCCACUGUCACCUCCGGCUUGCUCAUUAGAGAUAAAUUCAUAAAUUUAUAAUGUAUAUCCUGAGUUUAUAUAUUUCUGUAAAGCUGCUUUGUGACAAUGUCUAUUGUUAAAUGUGCUACACAGAUAAAAUUGAAUCGAAUUGUAUGCCCACAGGUGAGGACCACGCCUGGACUAGGACCACCCCUGGACGCAGGCCACCCCUGGACAAGGACAACCCCUGGACAAGGACUUCCCCUGAAUGCCAUUGAGGACCAGAGCAAGGACGACAUCCAAAGAAGCGGAGGAAGGUGCACAUCAACACACAGGUUUGGAGUUCAUAUUACACAUGAUUGGUGAUGAAGCGCACUGUCGCUUUAAGAGACCCUUGACUUUGGGCGCGUUCUCCCCUCUCUGAGUUCGCGCCAAACUGAGCUGGGAGGAGCAUGUUUCGCGGCUCACAGAGCCAAAGACUUCCAGUUAUGGAGUGGUACUGAGAAGACGCGAGUUAACGACCCUCCUGUAAAUUUAAAUAUAAAUCCUUCAAGCUCACUUAAAACUUUGAUACAUCCUUUGUUAUUUAAUGCACAAAAGUCUAACAACCGAAAUGGCACAGAAAAAGAAGAACAGAACUCAAGAAAAAGUGAAUAACGAGGCUCGAGAUGUCGCAGGAUUCUGACUACGCAGACGAACUAAAAGAGAUAGAGGAAGAUGACGACAGCGAAUCUACUAAAGUAACUGAGUUGAACCCCAGCAAUGCAGAUGUGUUACAAGCCAUUAAAGAAAUGGACAAACGAGUUAUGUGUAAAAUUGACGGUGUUAUGUCAGUGAUCAAAAAGGUAAAGAAACGUGUGAAGGAGGCCAAGCAUUUCUGGAGCAGAAGAUGAAAUCGUUCAACUCGGUGCUUGUGCACAUUCCCUUGAAUCACAAGUUAAAAAACUGACAGAAAAGGUUGACAACAUGGAAAACAGAAACAGACGGAACAACCUGAGGCUGGUGGGUUUACUGGAAAAAGAAAAAGGAAAUGAUACGUCUGCGAUUUUAGAUGCCUGGAUUCCCAAAAUAUUGGAAAUGGACUCGAGCACAUCGUUAGUUAAAGAGCGCGCACAUAGAGUGGGCUCACAACGAAAUAAGGAUGUUCGGAACAAAAGACGGGAUGCCAAUACACCACCAAGAACACUAAUAAUGAAGUUCCUAAAUGAAAAGAACAGGUGUUUAUUGUAAAAUAAUAACUAAGUAUAUUCAGUUAUUAUUGUUCUCUGUAAAUGUGAAAAUGUGUGUUUAUAGUUUAAUAUAAUAUGUGAGAGUAAUGUUACAAAUAGGGUUGUGAUAAUAAAUAUAGACAGAAGUACCUGACAGUUCCUCACGGGUGUGUGGACCAAUCAGCGCCAUAUACGGAGUGUAAGGGCUGUGGGGUCAAACGCAGUAGUAUGGACACUACUGGGAAAAUCGGGGUUGUUGUUGAAUGUUCUUUAAUAAUAGGUGUGUUGUUCGUGAUUGACUAUAGUUUUAUUUUUUGCUUCUCAGUAUUUAAGAUUGUUGAGUUUGUAAAAGGCAAAAUACAUCUUAAUAGGAAAUAAUAGGUAAAAGAUCAUGGGGAGACAGGUCAUGUGAAAUUUGUAACCUGGAAUUGCAGAGGAUUGGGCAAUAUUAAAAAAAAUAAAGCAGGUAAUGGAUAGGAUCGAACAAUUACAAGCACAAGUAAUUUUUCUUCAGGAAACCCACAUGGUAAAAAGUGAGACAAUUAAGAUUCGUCGGAAAUGGCAAGGGCAAGUUUUUGCUGCUUGUCACACUUCUAAUGCGAGAGGAGUAAUGACUUUAAUUCAUAAAUCAAUCCCAAUACAGGUUCAGAAAGUAUACACUAUACACUUUAUCUUCAGAAAAGAUAAAUUUAAUUAACAUUUAUGGUCCAAAUGAUGACAAUCCUACAUUUUUUAAUGAUUUGUUUUUGUUAAUUGCUAAUUUGCCUGGAUACUAUCUUAUCGCAGGGGAUAUGAAUUGUGUGUUAGAUCCUACUAAAGAGAGUUCAGCAGGGACUGAUAAAAAACAUACUAAAGCCAGGAAGGUGAUACAGGAAUUUAUGAAAGAUCUUAAUUUACUUUUUUUAAUUUACUUAAUUAACUUAAUCCUGCAGCGACAUCAUAUUCCUGAUAUUCUGGUGUGCAUCAAACAUACUCACGUAUUGAUUAUUACCUAAUUUCCGCACAAUUGCUUAACAAUACAACGGAUUGUAGUUAUCACAGUAUAGUAACCUCUGACCAUGCAGCGGUUUCUUUAUCAUACAAAACUACAAAAUUCAUAAAAAAUCCCCCUAAAUGGCGUUUUCAGAUAGGAUGGCUUCGUGACCCAGAGUUUGUAGAAUAUGUGGGCAAACAAAUUGAUUUGUGUUUUGAAAUUAAUAAGUCUGAAACAUCUGCUUGUAUUAGAUGGGAAGCAUUUUAUGCUUUUAUUCGAGGACAUAUAAUUGGGGUUUGCAGUUCAAAAGCUAGGAAGUCUAGACAAGAACUGAAACGAUUAGAAGAUCAAAUCAAAAAAUUAGAAAAUAAUAUUUUUCAGAAAACUACAGAUACAGUAGAAGCAAAAGAGAAAUUAUUAUUACUCAGGUCUCGAUAUAAUGAAUUGUCAGCAAGUAGAGCAGCUUCAAAAGUUUUAAGGUUGAAACAAAAAUUUUUAUGAAUAUGGAGAUAAAACAGGAUGGUUACUUGCUUGGCAAAUUCGACAACAACAAACAGAGCGUACUAUCACAAUAAUUGAAAGUUCAACUGGAAUAUAGUUGACACAGUAGAGAUCAAUGAAGCAUUUAGAACUUAUUAUGAAAAACUAUAUAGCUCAGAGUGCUCACUAAAUGUAGAUAUCCAGGUGCAAUUUUUAGAUAGUCUAAAUAUACCUCAGAUUUCAAUUGAAAAGAACAAAUUAUAUAAAGACCUAACAUUAUAAGAAAUUGGAGAAGCCAUUGACUCUAUGAAAUCAGGAAAAGCUGCGGGCCCAGAUGGGCUUCCUAUAGAAAUCUGUAAAACAUUUAAAAAAAAAAAAAAAGUUGCUAACUCCUUUUAUGGAAAUGAUAGUAGAGGCAUAUCAUCCAGAUCUUUUGCCUGCAUCAAUGAUAGGAGCUUUAAUUACAUUAUUACCAAAACCAGGAAAAACAAACAAAGUGUGAAAAUAUGAGGCCAAUUAGCUUGUUAAAUUCAGACACAAAAAUAUUAAGUAAAGUUAUGGCUAAGAGGUUAGAAGGUACACUAUCAAAUUUAAUAGGAGAGGAUCAAAAUGGUUUUAUACAACGUAGGCAAGGAUUUCACAAUGUUCAAAGAGUCCUAAAUAUUCAUUAUGAACAGAGGGGUGAACGAGAUACUACUCUAUCAUUGGACGCCGAAAAGGCCUUCAAUCGGGUUGAAUGGUCUUAUUUGUGUGAUUUAUUGGUCAGAUUUGGUUUUGGUGAAAGGUACUGUAGGUGGGUUAGAUUACUUUAUAAUAGUUCUACAGCAGAAGUGUUGACAAAUAAUAUUGUUUCAAAACCAUUUAGCGUAUCAAGAGGGUGUAGACAAGCAACCUAGUAAUUGUGUUGCAACCUUCAAGAUAGUUGACUGUUUUACAUACUUGGGUAUAAAAAUUGUACCAAAACUAGGAGAUGUUGUGCAAGUAAAUUAUGAUCCACUUCUUGAAAGUGUUACUAACUCAGUAGAAAGAUGGAUGUCCUUACCCAUAUCUUUAAUUGGUCGAAUAAAUAUUUUGAAAAUGAAUAUUUUGCCAAAAUUUUUAUAUUUAUUCCAGAACAUUCCUCUGCCUCCCCCUAAACAUCUAUUUCAACGACUUAAAAAAAUGUUCACUAAAUUCAUUUGGAAUAACAGAUGUUCCAGAUUCCGUCUGACACUUCUAUAUUUGCCAUAUGAAAGAGGAGGUCUACAGAGUCCUAAUUUUCAUUGGUAUUAUUGGGCUGUGCAACUUAGAACAAUUAUGUUUUAUUUUUUAUCUCAGGACUGCCCGUCUUGGGUGGAUAUGGAAUCGGCUGCCAUUAAUUCUGGACUGCCUUUAAAUUUGUGUUUAUAUUCAUCAGAAUUGAAAGAUCUCAAAAAAAAUGUUUCCAAUCCUAUAGUUAUAAAUAUGAUUGCCGUAUGGUUUGAUGUGAAAAAAUAUUUAGGUUCCUUCUAUCCUUUAUCUUAUUUUAGUCCCAUUUGGGGCAAUGAAAAAUUUAAACCAGGCAGAUUAGACGCAGGUUUCAAGAUUUGGGCUGGCAAGGGCAUUCGAAAGAUAGCAGAUCUAUACUCUUAUGUCAUUUGAGGAAAUAGUUAAUACAUAUACUAUUCCUACAAAACAUUUCUUUAAAUAUUUACAAAUAAGAAAUUUUAUCCUCAAAUCACAAAAUAAUUCCCUCGAUAUGCCAUCAUUGUCUAUUCUGAAAAAAGAAGUGACAAGAAAUUGUUUUAGUAAAGGUUUAAUUUCUUCAUUAUAUAAUAUGCUGCUGUCAGGAUCAAAGGACUCUUCAAACUAUAAAUUGGAAGCUUGGAGAUCGGAUCUUAAGGACGAUAUUCAGAUGGAGGACUGCAUCUAAGCAUGCAAGGACGCUCAAUCACUAACAAUGAACACACUUCUGAAACUGCUACAAUAUAAGUGGUUGAUGGGGAUUUACGUAACUCCAGUAGUAUUGCAUAAAUAUAAUGAAAAUAUCCCAGACACUUGCUUAAGAUGCAGCGACUUUAAAGGAACACUAUAUCACUGUAUAUGGGAAUGCGAAGAAGUUAGGAAUUUUUGGAAAGAUGUGAAAGGAAUGAUAGAAAAGAUCCUUGAUGUCAACAUACCACUGUCACCUUUAAUCUUUUUAUUUAAUUUAUAUCCUAAGGAGAUCAAGUUAAAAAAGAAGGAAUAUAUAUUUAUAAAUAUAUGUAUUCUUCAAGCGAAACAGCUUAUUUCUUUAAAUUGGAAAAGUAUAUAUGCACCAGAUAUAGGACGUUUGGCUGAAAGAAAUGGUAAUAAAUAUGUGGAGUGGAGUUGGAAAUGUGUUGAUAAAAGACUAAAAACAGAGGUGAUAUUGUAUAUUAAUGUAAAAUACUGAGAAGUUUUUUGUGUGUGUGUUUUCUCUGUUACAUGGAAAUGUAUAUGUACAUGUGUAGUUAAAAUGCAAUAAAAAGAAAUUUAAAAAAAAAAAUUUUCCUAUUAGUAUUUACUGUUUCUGUAUUCAUAUGCAGCACUGUUCUGUUUAUUUUAUUCUAGAUUACAGAUUAGCAUUUAGAGUGUUUUUGGUCAUAUACAGCACUACUU
This is a long non-coding RNA of Pangasianodon hypophthalmus (striped catfish), 6261 nucleotides long. RefSeq lists it as uncharacterized. Lineage: Eukaryota; Metazoa; Chordata; Actinopteri; Siluriformes; Pangasiidae. The record is from RefSeq and is a predicted model, not a curated record. The transcript is spliced from 3 exons.